GUUCGUAAUAAGACCUAUCCAGAAGGUUCUAUUGCAGAAGGCUAUUUGGCAAAAGAGUGUAUCACAUUUUGUUUAUGAUAUUUAUGUGAAGUUGAGACUAAAUUUAACCGAAUAGAAAGAAACUAUGAUGGAGGUCAACCAUUGCAAGACAAGUCUCAGUUAUCUAUCUUCUCAAUUCCAGAGAACAUAAAGGCAUUCUUCGUAUACAACAUGGUGAUGAUCGGGUGGAUGAGUUGCACACAAAAAAAUUUGUGCAAUGGUUUUCUGAAAAGAUCCAGCAAUUGAAUGCAGAUGGAAAAGUGAGCGCUCAAAUGCGUUCUUUGGCCCAACAUCCUGGAAAGCAAGCUGUCUGCUACAAAGGUUACAAUAUCCAUGGAUUUCGGUUCCAUACAAUACAACAUGAUGUUACUAAGAAAACACAAAAUAGUGGAGUUAUGGUCAAAGGAGAGAACCAAAUUACUAUGUGUCUUGCUACCAAAGGCAAAGGUUAUAAGGAAGAUCGUUAUGGCAUACCAAGUGUCAACAAUAAGGGUAAGUUGAAUACCCAAGAGCCAUUUGUGCUGGCAUCCCAAGCAACCCAGGUUUAUUAUGUUGAAGGAAUAAAAAACAGUGCUUGGAGUGUCGUGGUGGAAACCAAACCUAGAAACAUUUUUGAAAUGCCUACUGAUGAAGAGGAACCGUAUCAAGAAGAAGAAUCUUAGUCGAGUCACACAUAUGCACCGUAAUGAGGAAGAAGAUAAUGAAGAAUGAGUACUGUCCUUUUGGCAAGGUUGAAGUCUAGACAUCUGAAAACAGCUGGCAAAAUUUAGGCCAAUUAAUGUGCAUUGUAAUGUAUAUGUUGGUGUUCACAUAAAUUUGAAUUGUAUCUCUUUGUUGUUUUGUGUUCCUUGGGAGUG
Molecule: long non-coding RNA, 896 nt
Organism: Rosa chinensis
Lineage: Eukaryota; Viridiplantae; Streptophyta; Magnoliopsida; Rosales; Rosaceae
Exons: 5
Source: RefSeq, a predicted model, not a curated record